This 449-nucleotide ribosomal RNA is filed under the name uncultured bacterium. RNAcentral's name for it is "bacterial SSU rRNA". It matches the Rfam family "Bacterial small subunit ribosomal RNA", at positions 27 to 494 of the family's 1533-position model. The record is from RNAcentral.
GGAUGAACGCUGGCGGCGUGCCUAAUACAUGCAAGUCGAGCGGAAGGUUUAGCAAUAGACCUUUAGCGGCGAACGGGUGAGUAACGCGUUGGUGACCUGCCUCGAAGCUUGGGAUAACAGUUCGAAAGGACUGCUAAUACCGGAUGUGGUCACGUGGAUUAGAGGCCAUGUGAUUAAAGGAGAAAUUCACUUCGAGAGGGGCCUGCGUCCCAUCAGCUAGUUGGAAGGGUAACGGCCUACCAAGGCGAUGACGGGUAGGGGACCUGAGAGGGUGGCCCCCCACAAUGGAACUGAAACACGGUCCAUACACCUACGGGUGGCAGCAGUAGGGAAUAUUGCAUAAUGGGCGAAAGCCUGAUGCAGCAACGCCGCGUGUGCGAUGAAGGCCUUCGGGUCGUAAAGCACUUUUGAAGGGGAUGAGGAAGGACAGUACCCUUCGAAUAAGCUUC